GGUCACGAGUGCCAGCGCUAAACCCCGGUUUGCUGGCCGGCAACCCUCCAUUCGCGGUGGGGUGCCCCGGGUGACGACCAGGCCGGUCCGGAACGGAUACGGCAAGCGCGGAUC
Molecule: non-coding RNA, 114 nt
Filed under: Arthrobacter sp.
Lineage: Bacteria; Bacillati; Actinomycetota; Actinomycetes; Micrococcales; Micrococcaceae
Also listed under: 1 other name
Description: SAM-IV sequence
Rfam family: SAM (S-adenosyl methionine) riboswitch aptamer
About the family: SAM-IV is a mRNA element that regulates gene expression via direct sensing of S-adenosylmethionine (SAM or AdoMet). SAM-IV riboswitches share conserved nucleotide positions with the previously described SAM-I riboswitches sequence analysis and molecular recognition experiments suggest that SAM-I and SAM-IV riboswitches share similar ligand binding sites, but have different scaffolds.
Source: RNAcentral